GUCUAAGGCCAUAUCACCCUGAAUUCCAAUCUCAUCUGGUCUCAGAAGCUAAGGCAGGUUGGGCCUGGUUAGUACUUGGAUGGAAGAAUAAGGGACUAUCAAGUGUUGGUCC
RNAcentral lists this ribosomal RNA (112 nucleotides) under Nannospalax galili (Upper Galilee mountains blind mole rat). Lineage: Eukaryota; Metazoa; Chordata; Mammalia; Rodentia; Spalacidae. The record is from RNAcentral.